RNAcentral lists this ribosomal RNA (420 nucleotides) under Frateuria sp. CK2. RNAcentral describes it as "bacterial SSU rRNA". It matches the Rfam family "Bacterial small subunit ribosomal RNA", at positions 583 to 1010 of the family's 1533-position model. The record is from RNAcentral. Lineage: Bacteria; Pseudomonadati; Pseudomonadota; Gammaproteobacteria; Lysobacterales; Rhodanobacteraceae.
UUAAGUUGUUUGAAAUCCCCGGGCUCAACCUGGGAAUGCAAUGGAUACUGGAUAGCUAGAGUGUGAUAGAGGAUGGUGGAAUUCCCGGUGUAGCGGUGAAAUGCGUAGAGAUCGGGAGGAACAUCAGUGGCGAAGGCGGCCAUCUGGAUCAACAUGACGUGAGGCACGAAAGCGUGGGGAGCAAACAGGAUUAGAUACCCUGGUAGUCACGCCCUAAACGAUGCGAACUGGAUGUUGGUCUCAACUCGGAGAUCAGUGUCGAAGCUAACGCGUUAAGUUCGCCGCCUGGGGAGUACGGUCGCAAGACUGAAACUCAAAGGAAUUGACGGGGGCCCGCACAAGCGGUGGAGUAUGUGGUUUAAUUCGAUGCAACGCGAAGAACCUUACCUGGCCUUGAAGUUGGAAUCCUGCACAGAUGCG